Molecule: ribosomal RNA, 253 nt
Filed under: uncultured bacterium
Lineage: Bacteria
Description: partial 16S ribosomal RNA
Rfam family: Bacterial small subunit ribosomal RNA
Source: RNAcentral
UACGUAGGGUGCAAGCGUUGUCCGGAUUUAUUGGGCGUAAAGAGCUCGUAGGCGGUCUGUCGCGUCGGAUGUGAAAACCCAGGGCUCAACCCUGGGCCUGCAUUCGAUACGGGCAGACUAGAGUGUGGCAGGGGAGACUGGAAUUCCUGGUGUAGCGGUGAAAUGCGCAGAUAUCUGGAGGAACACCGGUGGCGAAGGCGGCAUCCUGGACCAACACUGACGCUGAGGAGCGAAAGCCAGGGGAGCAAACGGG